This 591-nucleotide ribosomal RNA is filed under the name uncultured bacterium. RNAcentral describes it as "partial 16S ribosomal RNA". It matches the Rfam family "Bacterial small subunit ribosomal RNA", at positions 355 to 1375 of the family's 1533-position model. The record is from RNAcentral.
UGGGGAAUUUUGGACAAUGGGCGAAAGCCUGAUCCAGCAAUGCCGCGUGUGUGAAGAAGGCCUUCGGGUUGUAAAGCACUUUUGUCCGGAAAGAAAUCCUUGGCUCUAAUACAGUCGGGGGAUGACGGUACCGGAAGAAUAAGCACCGGCUAACUACGUGCCAGCAGCCGCGGUAAUACGUAGGGUGCAAGCGUUAAUCGGAAUUGCUGGGCGUAAAGCGUGCGCAGGCGGUUUGCUAAGACCGAUGUGAAAUCCCCGGGCUCAACCUGGGGAAACUGCAUUGGUGACUGGCAGGCUAGAGUAUGGCAGAGGGGGGUAGAAUUCCACGUGUAGCAGUGAAAUGCGUAGAGAUGUGGAGGAAUACCGAUGGCGAAGGCAGCCCCCUGGGCCAAUACUGACGCUCAUGCACGAAAAGCGUGGGGAGCAAACAGGAUUAGAUACCCUGGUAGUCCACGCCCUAAAACGAUGUCAACUAGUUGUUGGGGAUUCAUUUUCCUUAGUAAACGUAGCUAACGCGUGAAGUUGACCGCCUGGGGAGUACGGUCGCAAGAUUAAAAACUCAAAGAAUUGACGGGGUCAUAGCUGUUUCCU